AGUCGAGGGGUAUGCUUCUUCGGGAGCAGAGACCGGCGCACGGGUGCGUAACGCGUAUGCAAUCUACCUUUUACAGAGGGAUAGCCCAGAGAAAUUUGGAUUAAUACCUCAUAGUAUUAUGAAAUGGCAUCAUUUUAUAAUUAAAGUCACAACGGUAAAAGAUGAGCAUGCGUCCCAUUAGCUAGUUGGUAAGGUAACGGCUUACCAAGGCUACGAUGGGUAGGGGUCCUGAGAGGGAGAUCCCCCACACUGGUACUGAGACACGGACCAGACUCCUACGGGAGGCAGCAGUGAGGAAUAUUGGACAAUGGGCGCAAGCCUGAUCCAGCCAUGCCGCGUGCAGGAUGACGGUCCUAUGGAUUGUAAACUGCUUUUAUACAGGAAGAAACCCUGGUUCGUGAACCAGCUUGACGGUACUGUAAGAAUAAGGAUCGGCUAACUCCGUGCCAGCAGCCGCGGUAAUACGGAGGAUCCAAGCGUUAUCCGGAAUCAUUGGGUUUAAAGGGUCCGUAGGCGGUUUAAUAAGUCAGUGGUGAAAGCCCAUCGCUCAACGGUGGAACGGCCAUUGAUACUGUUAAACUUGAAUUAUUAGGAAGUAACUAGAAUAUGUAGUGUAGCGGUGAAAUGCUUAGAGAUUACAUGGGAAUACCAAUUGCGAAAGGCAGGUUACUACUAAUAUAUUGACGCUGAUGG
RNAcentral lists this ribosomal RNA (693 nucleotides) under Flavobacterium sp. T66.09.P.CHS.MI.H.Kidney.N. RNAcentral describes it as "bacterial SSU rRNA". It matches the Rfam family "Bacterial small subunit ribosomal RNA", at positions 60 to 752 of the family's 1533-position model. The record is from RNAcentral. Lineage: Bacteria; Pseudomonadati; Bacteroidota; Flavobacteriia; Flavobacteriales; Flavobacteriaceae.